UCGUUGGUGACUUGCCACGAGACUGCUUAUGAGAGCCGUCCGAUCUCGCUCAAUCGGACGGCUCUCACGCUCGACGUAUAAAGGCCUAAAAUGCUGGUCGAGCUCCCCCUCCCACCGUGAGCCUUCUCUCCGUCGCCGGCGACGCUCAGCUGUCGUCGACGGAGCCUCGCCGUGAGCCCUCCGUCUCUCGCUCUCUUUCUCUGUCUCACAGCACGCGGUCUCCCCCCUUGCUCCCCCGACUUCCCCUCUCGCCCAAACCGGAUGCCUCUCACGCUUCCGCCACAGAGGGACGCGACAGUGGGUGGUACCGCCGUCAUUGCUCGCCGCCGAAACCGCUACAAGCCCGAGCAGAAACCGGACGCAACCUCCCCCCGCCCCGUCUGCCUCAGGAAUUCAAUUACAUUGGGGAGGUCCCCUCAAUGCCUCGUGGAUAUCAAAGGCGGCAGCCACAAAAUCUCAACUCACAUAUGUGCUAUCCUAAUCCAAUCACUCAAACAGACUACAGUUGAUUGAGUUAUCAACGGGUCACACACCAUGAGGCCACUAAGCAUGGAGCAAACAAGACUGUCUGCAUGUGUCGGUGGUCUGUCCUGUCCUGCAAGGAAUCAUGCUCAACUUGAUCAAAUGACAUCACAAGCAAGAUGGACAGGACUUAAACCUGGCCUAAGAAAAUGAAGGAUUUGAUUCUGUGAAGUGCAGUCACCAGACGGAAUGGGCGGUAUUGUCUCCUCUUUUCCACAAGAUGCCCAUCAAGUGCAAGAGGUUGGCAUUCUAGAUUUCCAUGAAGCAGCAAUGGACAUGUGACGGAAGUCCUUUUCCAUGAGUGUCAUCAUGAUGUUGGGGAUCUUCUUCGUAUUAAAAAUGGUUAUUGAAGAGCUCUAUGCUAUAAAGAUGGAAAUUGGCAGAGCUGCUUGUGUUUGGUUCUACUGCAGCUCGCAGUUUCAUAGUUCUUUAUAAGUUGUGGAUAUGGUUGCCUCCGGGUGCUCAAGAAUGCAGUCACACAUGAUCUCCGAGAGUGCUUCAUCCAGAAUGAUACGGAGGAGAAGCAUUGGGCUGGCUUAGUUCACGUAUCAUCUGAAUAGAGUUUAACUUGGCUCGUCUAACGGUAGUGAGUGUGAACAGUUUGAUUCUGCUUGAGUUUUUUGAAACGCAAGUCCUGCUCUUGUGUCCUGCUGAUUAUUUUUAUUUUCUCCAUUUACCAUUCAAAAUUCUACGUAUGAUCCAUUAUUUGAGCACAUGUAACCAAAACAGGUGAUUAAUCCAAAGUACUGCCCACCCUUUUGGAA
This is a long non-coding RNA of Nymphaea colorata (pocket water lily), 1286 nucleotides long. RefSeq lists it as uncharacterized. Lineage: Eukaryota; Viridiplantae; Streptophyta; Magnoliopsida; Nymphaeales; Nymphaeaceae. The transcript has 2 exons. The record is from RefSeq and is a predicted model, not a curated record.